ACCUACGUGGAGAGCCAUAAAACACGAAGUUUCAGAACCACAACCUGACCUGGACCACAAUCCCUGGCUGAGGAUCCAUCCCAGGAAAGCUGUUCCCUGCAGAAAAGUGUAAUCCCGGCAAUCCCGGAGGAGUCUGGCGGAAUCAGCCAGAGGAGGGCACUUUUGAGCUUUGGGAGACCUCUGGGCCAGUGGGGCCGAAGGAUGCUGUGUCCUGGCUGUUCCCCUGCUGCUGGCUCUGCCUUUCCCCUGGUGUGGAUGUGAGAAAGAAAAUCAAUCCAGCUUGGUGAAGGCGGAUGCAGCAAAGAUCACUCUUGAUUUUUCUUAUCUGUCCAAACAAUGUUCUUUAUCUCCUGCCCAUGCUGACUGCCAUGAAAACUGUUGGCUAUCGAGUGGUUCCGAAAAGCAAAUUGUGUUACCCAGGUGCCAAAAGAGGAAGGUGAAUUGUACAUGUUUUCCCUCUGAGCUGUUAUUGUGGAGCUGUUAUUAAUGACAGAUGGUUGAUACAAACAGAUUUCAGCCCUGGAAGUGUUGCAAAUUUGCUGGUCAUCGUUUGUGCUCUGUGAUAAAAUGACUGAGGGGUUUUGGGUUUUUUUUUUUAGUGAGAGAACAGGAAAUACUGAAUAAUGGUGACUCUGGUUCAGUUAGCAGCUCCCUCUGUGCCCCACAGACUGAGUUACUGGUAAGGAGGAUGGCAAUUACCCUGUGAACCCCCACUGCAGGAAUGCUCAGGACCAGCAGCAUAACAGGGAGCAAGGACACGUCUGGAAUUUGGACAGCACUCAAAAUGUGCAAUACUGGAUCUUCCAAGGUUCCUUCUCUGCAAGACACUGAUUGAUUCCUCCUUCCUGGGGCAGGUGUUUGCCAGAUUUGUUGUGGGAUGUGCCCCAGGUGGAGCAGGGAAUCUCCCAACCUUUUUUUUUCCAGAGUGACCACCAGGGAAAAGCUGAAGGAGCAGCGUUGAGCUGAUGCAGUCCAAAAGCACAGGAUGUCUUCCACCAAUCUUGCUGCCACUGGAUAUUUCCUGUGCAAGGAUGGAGUUGCUGCCCUGUCCUCAGAAUCUCUGGUGGCCCUCCCUCAUUUUGACAUGUGAGGAUAACUACAUUUACUUUAUUUGGCACAUUCAUACAAAUAAGUGAAGCAAAUUCCUCUGUGCUGAUGGCAAAUAGAGACAAGGAAACCUCCUGUGACAGAAAUAGGUGAUGGAGUGGCAGAUGCCAGAUCCCUGUUCGUAUCAUAAAGAAUUCUGGCUAAUGUUUGCAUUUCUGCUUGUUUGUAAACUUAAAUGGAUGAGGUGAAAGCCAUACAGUCAAAUCCUCAUUUUUUGGUCACCUCAUGAUGUUGGCAGGACCUGGUGCUGCUGGAGAACCAAAGUCUGGAGAUGCCAAGACAUCUUUGAUGUCUUAGAUGAUCUUAGAUGUCACUUUGCCUCAAGAAAUCUGCCAGCUUUGCAGGACUUGGGGGAAGACUGGGCUGUAAAGAGGAUGUAUUUAAACAGGGAAUCAGUGGGCUGUUAAAAUGUUUGCUGCUGGAAUUCCAUGAUCAGUAAGGCCUGGUGGGGCUGCAGCUCGAUGCUGAUGUGGUUAAAACAUCCCCACACAUCUUCCCCUUGGGCAGGUCUGUGGUGGCACAAGGUCUGCAGCUGAGGCAUCAACAAGAAUUCUAUAAAUAAGGCCAAAAGAGAUAACAAUAUAAGAG
RNAcentral lists this long non-coding RNA (1695 nucleotides) under Taeniopygia guttata (zebra finch). RNAcentral describes it as "lncRNA (ENSTGUG00000024989.1)". The record is from RNAcentral. Lineage: Eukaryota; Metazoa; Chordata; Aves; Passeriformes; Estrildidae.